GGUGAACGGUGUGCACAGUGCUGGUCUGUGUUACGUGUUGUUGUUGGGCUGCGUUUUGCGGUCUCGGCUACAGCGCUCACUCCCCACCUGCAGCCAUAGAACAAGCGGGGAUCAUAGUACUGGCCUUUGAGGUCUUCACAGACGCCUCAUCAUCGGCCAGCCUCCAAACUCUCCAACAAAA
This 181-nucleotide small nucleolar RNA is filed under the name Fundulus heteroclitus (mummichog). RNAcentral describes it as "Small nucleolar RNA SNORA23 (ENSFHEG00000014163.1)". It matches the Rfam family "Small nucleolar RNA SNORA23". Rfam says of the family: The members of this family belong to the H/ACA class of snoRNAs which are thought to guide the sites of modification of uridines to pseudouridines. The record is from RNAcentral. Lineage: Eukaryota; Metazoa; Chordata; Actinopteri; Cyprinodontiformes; Fundulidae.